This 492-nucleotide ribosomal RNA is filed under the name uncultured bacterium. RNAcentral describes it as "partial 16S ribosomal RNA". It matches the Rfam family "Bacterial small subunit ribosomal RNA", at positions 29 to 507 of the family's 1533-position model. The record is from RNAcentral.
AGUGAACGCUGGCGGUAGGCCUAACACAUGCAAGUCGAACGGCAGCACAGUAAGAGCUUGCUCUUACGGGUGGCGAGUGGCGGACGGGUGAGGAAUACAUCGGAAUCUACUUUUUCGUGGGGGAUAACGUAGGGAAACUUACGCUAAUACCGCAUACGACCUACGGGUGAAAGCAGGGGAUCUUCGGACCUUGCGCGAUUGAAUGAGCCGAUGUCGGAUUAGCUAGUUGGCGGGGUAAAGGCCCACCAAGGCGACGAUCCGUAGCUGGUCUGAGAGGAUGAUCAGCCACACUGGAACUGAGACACGGUCCAGACUCCUACGGGAGGCAGCAGUGGGGAAUAGUGGACAAUGGGCGCAAGCCUGACCCAGCCAUACCGCGUGGGUGAAGAAGGCCUUCGGGUUGUAAAGCCCUUUUGUUGGGAAAGAAAAGCAGCAGGUUAAUACCCCGCUGUUCUGACGGUACCCAAAGAAUAAGCACCGGCUAACUUCGUG